This is a ribosomal RNA of Scophthalmus maximus (turbot), 119 nucleotides long. The record is from Ensembl. NCBI's taxonomy places the organism in Eukaryota, Metazoa, Chordata, Actinopteri, Pleuronectiformes, Scophthalmidae.
GCUUACGGCCAUACCAGCCUGAAUACGCCCGAUCUCGUCUGAUCUCGGAAGCUAAACAGGGUCGGGCCUGGUUAGUACUUGGAUGGGCGACCUCCUGGGAAUACCAGGUGCUGUAAGCA